UACGUAGGGUGCGAGCGUUAAUCGGAAUUACUAGGCGUAAAGCGUGCGCAGGCGGUUGGUUAAGUCUGAUGUGAAAGCCCCGGGCUCAACCUGGGAAUGGCAUUGGAAACUGGCUGGCUAGAGUGUGGCAGAGGGGGGUGGAAUUCCGCGUGUAGCAGUGAAAUGCGUAGAGAUGCGGAGGAACACCGAUGGCGAAGGCAGCCCCCUGGGCUGACACUGACGCUCAGGCACGAAAGCGUGGGGAGCAAACAGG
This 253-nucleotide ribosomal RNA is filed under the name uncultured bacterium. Its description in RNAcentral is "partial 16S ribosomal RNA". It matches the Rfam family "Bacterial small subunit ribosomal RNA", at positions 524 to 776 of the family's 1533-position model. The record is from RNAcentral.